GGGGGCGAAACGGCUUCGACGGGGAUAAAGAAGCUUUGGCUGCAUACCGAGCUUUCCUGUCCGCUCGUUAAACGACGGGAACUUAAACAUAAUCGCAGAUGAUUAUGAAUACGCCCUGGCCGCUUAAUUAGGCCAGCGUCCUACCGGGCAUUUCCUGCGGGCCCGGCAAGGGCGUCGACGAGCAGGAUAGCCGAUCCUGAUUUCCUGUUAAGGAGCGGUGAAACUUUAACGGGAUAGCCGCUUGCGAAUCCGGCCUGGAGGAGUCGCAAUGCGGUAAAAUUCAAAAUUCAGGCUAAGUAUGUAGAGGCUGAAGUGGAAUAUUUUCGGACGCGGGUUCGACUCCCGCCGCCUCCACCA
This 357-nucleotide transfer-messenger RNA is filed under the name Desulfobacterales. Its description in RNAcentral is "G020354645 sp020354645 Standard tmRNA". It matches the Rfam family "transfer-messenger RNA". Rfam says of the family: Bacterial tmRNA, also known as 10Sa RNA or SsrA, is named for its dual tRNA and mRNA-like properties. Its role is to liberate the mRNA from a stalled ribosome. To accomplish this part of the tmRNA is used as a reading frame that ends in a translation stop signal. The record is from RNAcentral. Lineage: Bacteria; Pseudomonadati; Thermodesulfobacteriota; Desulfobacteria. RNAcentral also lists the same sequence under 1 other name.